AGUGAACGCUGGCGGUAGGCCUAACACAUGCAAGUCGAACGGCAGCACAGUAAGAGCUUGCUCUUACGGGUGGCGAGUGGCGGACGGGUGAGGAAUACAUCGGAAUCUACUUUUUCGGGGGGGAUAACGUAGGGAAACUUACGCUAAUACCGCAUACGACCUACGGUUGAAAGCAGGGGAUCUUCUGACCUUGCGCGAAUGAAUGAGCCGCUGUCGGAUUAGCUAGUUGGCGGGGUAAAGGCCCACCAAGUCGACGAUCGGUAGCUCGUCUGAGAGGAUGAUCGGCCGCACUAGAGCUGAGACACGGUCCAGACUCCUGCGGGAGGCAGCAGUCGGGAAUAUUAGGCAAUAGGCGCGAGUAUUAUCCAAUCAGACGGCGUGGGUGAAGACGGCCUUCGGGUUGUGAAGACCGUUUGUUGGGAGAGAAACGCAGCAGGUUAAUACCACGCUGUUCUGACGGUACCGAAAGAAUAAGCACCGGCUAACUUCGUG
This 492-nucleotide ribosomal RNA is filed under the name uncultured bacterium. RNAcentral's name for it is "partial 16S ribosomal RNA". It matches the Rfam family "Bacterial small subunit ribosomal RNA", at positions 29 to 507 of the family's 1533-position model. The record is from RNAcentral.